GAAUUGUUCUGCUCUACUUCCUAUAGUUGACAGUAAUAACACUCUUGAUACAGUCAACAAUCAGAUGACUGUACCUCCUGUUACUGAUAGUAAUAAUACUCCUGACGUACAUAACAAUCAGAUGGUAGCUUGUAGAUC
Molecule: long non-coding RNA, 138 nt
Organism: Amphimedon queenslandica
Lineage: Eukaryota; Metazoa; Porifera; Demospongiae; Haplosclerida; Niphatidae
Exons: 3
Source: RefSeq, a predicted model, not a curated record